CUGCAGAAUAUUUGUGGCCUCUCUCAGAGCCUGGGAGACACACUUGACAUAGUGAGGACAGGUCACCUGUAUCAACCCUCCCCCAGAAUUAGGUUGCUAUUAGUUGACUCCAGGGAUAUCACUUACCUCUAUCUGAUGAGAUGAGCAAGUGGCCUUUAUGCAGCUGCCAUCACAUCACCCUGAAGGCUGAAGUUUAGCUCCAGAGACUAGCAGUGGAUGAAAAUGGAGAGAGAGAACUAAGAAUGUUACCGGACACGUAACAUAUGCUGGUCAGGACCAGCCACAUAAUUUGCAAGGCCCAGUGCAAAAUAAAAAUGCGAGGUCUCUUGUUCAAAAAUUAUUAAGAAUUUCAAGACACCAAGAGUAGAGCAUUAAACCAAGCAUGGAGCCCUUUCAAGCAUGGGACCUUGAGUGACUACAUAGGUCACACAUCCAUGAGGCCAGUCCGGCUUAGGAGACACAGGUGCUGGAGAAAAACGUGUGAACAAGGCAGACAUAGUCCCUGCCUUCAAGGAGAUUACAGUCUACUGAGGAAGGGAGAUAUUGGACAAACACAUACAAAAGAGAAAAACAGGUGCAAUGAAUGUGCAUGAUAAGGGGUCCUAACCUGGCCAGGGGAAUGAAGGAAGGCUUCCUAAAGGAUAAGAAGUUCAAGGUAAGA
RNAcentral lists this long non-coding RNA (661 nucleotides) under Homo sapiens (human). RNAcentral's name for it is "HSALNT0228533". Lineage: Eukaryota; Metazoa; Chordata; Mammalia; Primates; Hominidae. The record is from RNAcentral.